This 332-nucleotide ribosomal RNA is filed under the name uncultured bacterium. RNAcentral's name for it is "bacterial SSU rRNA". It matches the Rfam family "Bacterial small subunit ribosomal RNA", at positions 8 to 334 of the family's 1533-position model. The record is from RNAcentral.
AGGGUUUGAUUCUGGCUCAGGAUGAACGCUAGCGGCAGGCCUAACACAUGCAAGUCGAGGGGCAGCAUGAAAGUAGUAAUACUUUUGAUGGCGACCGGCGCACGGGUGCGUAACGCGUAUGCAACCUACCCAGAACAGGGGGAUAACACUGAGAAAUUGGUACUAAUAUCCCAUAAUAUCAUGAAGGGCAUCCUUUAUGGUUGAAAACUCCGGUGGUUCUGGAUGGGCAUGCGUUGUAUUAGCUAGUUGGUGAGGUAACGGCUCACCAAGGCAACGAUACAUAGGGGGACUGAGAGGUUAACCCCCCACAUUGGUACUGAGACACGGACCAA